AAUAAAAUGUUUAUUUUUAGGCAAUUGCCUUACAAGUUAGCUGCAACUAAGGGUCUGACAAUUUCUACCUUAACUGGCCUCUCCAAAGAGACCCGUACCUCACACGUCUACAUUUGGGUUUACUAUUACCACAAUUUUCUUUAGCUUUAGCUGUUGUUGCUAGAAUUUAAAUGUUUAUAUCUUUUUUUACUUGUUUACUCUGUAAAUUCACUAAAACUUACCACGGUCUUACUGGGUAAUUAAUAAAUUUCAAUACAUACUUCCUUCUAGUUGUAGAGAUUCUAUUUAACACAACAUUUUGGAGAUGUAAAACAGUAAAAGUAGAACAGAGAUUGGUUUUUGUAAGGACAGGGAUCAGGAGAGGAAAUGACUACAAACAAGCCUAAAAUGCUUUUAGACUCACUUCUCAUAUUAAAAAGGGUAAAUUGUGCUAUAUGUGAACAAAUUCACUAAUGACCAUGAAACAAAUGCACACGAUUAGUGAUAUAGGAAGCUGAACUGAUGGCAUGGAACUGAAUUAUGUUUUCUUCAAUAUUCUGUAGCAUGCAGGUUAACCAGCAAGAUGUCUAUCUAUAUUUUGAUGAAUUAUAAAGAAAACAGUUAAAAGGUAACACAAACUGCAGAUUGCAUGGAAGUCUGCAAACAGGGUAGUCACAUAGAGGGACAUUACCUUGCAAUACAAGACUUCUACCUAACACUAAGUAGGCAAGCGACCUGAAGAAGCUACAAUCAGUGCGGGAUCCCAGACACUCUUCCAGCAUCUUUGACGAGAUACCAGUUUUACACAGCCUAUCCUUGAGUACACAGCCAAGCGCUGACUUGAAUGAAUAAAUAAAGAUAUGUUCACUACCCCUGCAUUCUUUCUGUUACAACUAUUGGGGCUUUGCUUCUUGCCUAAAAAAGCCAACCAUAUCUAUCUUAGAAAGAGACUAUCCCAGUGAAAUUAGGUGCCAACGGAGUGUCAGUACCACAUUGUUGCUUACUGUCUUCUCUUAACAAGGCAUACAUUCCCAAUGAUUCUGAGAGAAUGUACAGCUACAACACUCCAUUUGACUGUUUUAGAAUCAGUCUUUCUCAGUAUUCCUUUGUGAAACAACACAGAAGCAGAGAAACCACCGCUCCAACUGAGUUUUAGAUGCAACAACACCCAUGGUUCUUCUACAAUGUACUUCUGUUUGAGAGGCAAAAUAUACUAAUUAACCCCACCAAUUACUAAAGAAAUGGAAGCUGGGGACCGAACCCAGGGCCUUAGCAAGCGCUCUACCACUGAGCUAAAUCCCCAACCCCAUCUCUCAAAUUUUUUAACUAAAAAGCAAGCUUCAGGAUGAAUAUAAAA
This is a non-coding RNA of Rattus norvegicus (Norway rat), 1336 nucleotides long. Lineage: Eukaryota; Metazoa; Chordata; Mammalia; Rodentia; Muridae. The record is from RefSeq and is a predicted model, not a curated record.